UACGUAGGGGGCUAGCGUUGUCCGGAAUCAUUGGGCGUAAAGCGCGUGUAGGCGGUCCGGUAAGUCCGCUGUGAAAGUCGGGGGCUCAACCCUCGGAUGCCGGUGGAUACUGCCAGUCUUGAAGGUGCUAGGGGGAGAUGGAAUUACCGGUGUAGCGGUGAAAUGCGUAGAUAUCGGUAGGAACACCAGUGGCGAAGGCGGUCUCCUGGGGCAUUCUUGACGCUGAGGCGCGAAAGCUGGGGGAGCGAACGGG
RNAcentral lists this ribosomal RNA (253 nucleotides) under uncultured bacterium. RNAcentral describes it as "partial 16S ribosomal RNA". It matches the Rfam family "Bacterial small subunit ribosomal RNA", at positions 524 to 776 of the family's 1533-position model. The record is from RNAcentral.